RNAcentral lists this ribosomal RNA (375 nucleotides) under uncultured organism. Its description in RNAcentral is "partial 16S ribosomal RNA". It matches the Rfam family "Bacterial small subunit ribosomal RNA", at positions 527 to 896 of the family's 1533-position model. The record is from RNAcentral.
GUAGGUGGCAAGCGUUGUCCGGGAAUUAUUGGGGCGUAAAGCGCGCGCAGGCGGUUCUUUAAGUCUGGUGUGAAAGCCCACGGGCUCAACCGUGGAGGGUCAUUGGAAACUGGAGAACUUGAGUACAGAAGAGGAAAGCGGAAUUCCACGUGUAGCGGUGAAAUGCGUAGAGAUGUGGAGGAACACCAGUGGCGAAGGCGGCUUUCUGGUCUGUAACUGACGCUGAGGCGCGAAAGCGUGGGGAGCAAACAGGAUUAGAUACCCUGGUAGUCCACGCCGUAAACGAUGAGUGCUAAGUGUUAGGGGGUUUCCGCACCUUAGUGCUGCAGCUAACGCAUUAAGCACUCCGCCUGGGGAGUACGGCCGCAAAGGCUG